UGACCUCAACGCACAUUGCUCAAGUUUGAUCAGUUACUUCGAUUCGUUCUCAUUAAGACUUCUUCGUUGUCAGGAUGAUGCGAUUAGAGCCUAAAGGUGCUAAGGCGGAUCCUGAAGCGGAAAAGAAGGAGGCGAAACGCCAGGUGCUAUCAAGCAUACAGCAGUUUGUCUUGGUUGUAGCAGUUGUUAGAGCAGCACCAUGGAUCAUAGAACAGCUGAGUGGAUGAACGGGUAAAUGAAGAACACAGAGGCAAGACAACAUGAUGAAUUUGUAAAUAUGGACUACAGAGGGCAGCAGAUGUACUACAGGUGGCUCUACACGGAUUGACCUAGGAACGGAAAUAUGAGCCAAAACUGAUGGACAGCACAAUGAACGAUAGUCCUACAGUGAUACGAACAGGGUUCAUACAGGUCCCGGAAAACUGGGAGGACCCUAAAUUUUUUAAAUGACAUUGUCUAGAUUAUGAUAAAGAUCUGGUCUUCAAAUGCCUGAUUAUGUGCAGCCCAGUGGGUGUGUUUGUCUGCCGCUCAGUAAACACCAACCUCUUGGUAAUCAUUGGUCCUUACAGUGUAACUGUAGCAAUUGAUAUACGUGUUUCCGUUUGUUUAGUGUAAUAAAAUAUACAUGUGUAUAAAGAAUC
RNAcentral lists this long non-coding RNA (641 nucleotides) under Priapulus caudatus. Its description in RNAcentral is "uncharacterized LOC106809022". The record is from RNAcentral. Lineage: Eukaryota; Metazoa; Priapulida; Priapulimorpha; Priapulimorphida; Priapulidae.